This 9132-nucleotide long non-coding RNA is filed under the name Eucalyptus grandis. RNAcentral's name for it is "long non-coding RNA (EGRA_LNC006017)". Lineage: Eukaryota; Viridiplantae; Streptophyta; Magnoliopsida; Myrtales; Myrtaceae. The record is from RNAcentral.
UUUUUUUUCCUUUUCCUGCUUUCUUCACCUACGGUCGAGCGGCUUCGGUGGGUCACCGGAGGUUGGGUCUCCGGCGUUCAGAGCUCCGGCGAAGACUGGCGGAAGACUCCGAGUGUGGGUGUCGCGAUGGAAGGCAGGCCCAACUGGUCACGGGUCAGGCGAGACAGGAGCGGCACGGGCGAAGGAGACAGCCGGCGUCGGAGUUUUGGUGCGGAUCGAGCGGCAGCAGCAACAGGGAGGCGCGGCGUCGGUGACCGGCGAACAGCGGGGUUGCGGGUCACAGCGAUGUUGUCCCACGGGUGCGUAGUGGCUCGGCGUUUAGUUUCGGCGUCGUGGGUCAGCAAAUCAGAGCAACAACGGCGACUGGGCAGAGGUGCUGGUAUGGUGGCGUAGGCUGAGUGGAGGCAGACCACUGUGCUGCCGGGCGCAAGUUGCAAGUUAUGGGCUUCGGGUCGCGAGGCUGCAGAGGUGACGGGGCGACGCGGUGGCGCGUCACGAGCAACAGAGGAGAUGCGGGCCGGUUCGGAAUCGGCAGUGUCACGGGUUGCAGAAGCGCGGCAGUGUCGGGCUCCGGCGGUGCUACUGGGCGUCGGCGAGGUCGCGAGGCGAGCGGGGGCGCUGGGACGGCGAUGCGGCGGCACGGGGAAGGUUGGCUCGGCGGCGGCGCGAUUCUGGGUCGCCGGUGGCUCGGCAGCCGGUGCAGGGAAGCGGCACGGGCAGACCCCCCCCCCCCCCCCUACACGAGGAAGAUGAACAGUCGUGGGGGCUUUUCUUCUUUCUUUUUUUUUUUUUUUUCGAUUUUUUUCUCUCUGCAGCAACCUCACGAUUGAUCCGUACGUAUCCUUUUAUAGGCGACGCAAAACAGGAUCUUUUUUUUAAAAUAUUUUCAUCUCCCGAAUAUUGCUUAUAACCUCUUGAUCACAAAAAUCCUUAUCUAAAAAAUAUUAUCCCCCGAUUUCAUCAUCUAUUGAUAAAAAAUAAGAUUACAAUGCGAUUUUUUUUAAUUUUCAAAAACCAUAAUAUCACAUCAAAUCUUAAUUUUUUCGCAAGAUAAUCAAUUAAAAAUAACGACGGGCUUGGGUUAAUUUUAUCCUUUCAUGGGCCUAGCCCGGCCUAUUAAUUUAAAAUUCAAAAACACCAAUUCGACCCAUCCGCCACCGGUCCAAUAAAUAAAAUGCAAAAUAUGCAAACUAAAUGUAGCUAUGCAAUUAAAUUUUUUUAAGGAUAAAAUUAACCCAUAAUUUUUAUGCAAUAAAUGACUAAAUGGAUCGCCAAAAUUUAGGUGUCAACAGCUGCCCCUCUUUGAAGGUGAGCUGGAAGAGGUGGCAUUCAAAGACAAAUUGAGAUCUAAAUUUUGACCAUGCAAAUGCACUUAAUGAUUUUUUUGUCGGAAAAUGAAUUCCAUCUUUUAAUGCAAUUUAUAUGAUGCAUGGAAAUGCUAAUGCAAAUGCAUGAUGUCAAAGGAAAGAACGUACCUACAAUUACUUACCAAUUAGUGCGGUAAAGCAUUUUGAGGUACAUGAUAAAUCCCUAUUUACUCCAUAAGUACCCAACUCUCACUCAGGUUCCUUGAAAAGCGUAAUAGGUAAGAACAUUCACAUCCAAAGUGAAAUGUUCAACGGAAAAAAUUGAGACAUCUAGAUCCAGACUGAGAUGUCAAGAUUUUUUGAAAAUCUCAAAAUACCUAAAUCCAGACUAAGGUAUAAUGAGAAGGAUUGACAAACAUUCACAUCCAGAGUGAAAUGUUUGAAUGAAAAUAAUCAAGACAUCCAGGUCCAGACAGAGAUGUCACAAUUUUAGAAGCUCGAAAUACCUAGAUCCAGACUAAGUAUAACGAGAAAGGUCGAAAAACAUUCACAUCCAGAGUGAAACAUUCAACGAAGAAAAUUGAGACGUCCAGAUCCAGACUGAGAUGUCGAAAUUUUGGAAUGCAAUUUGUAUGCAAAUGGUAAAGGAACUUACCUGGAAUAACUUACCUUCAAAGAGGGUAGAGUGAUUCAAGAUAGUUGGUGUUACAUGUCCAGGACCUGUACCAUUUUACGGUCGCCCGGAAUAGUAACAUGGCUUUGUAAAGAGACUGCUUUCCCAGGACUCGUACCAUUCUACGGUUGCCCAGUAUGACAGUGUUUGGUUGUGUCUAGGACUCGUACCAUUCUACGGUCGCCUGAAUAGGGAAAUAGGUUUUGUCUAGGACCCGUACCAUUCUACGGUCGCCUAAACGGGGAUUUACCUACCAGGACCCGUACCAUUCUACGGUCGCCUGAAUAGGGAAAUAGGUUUUGUCUAGGACCCGUACCAUUCUACGGUCGCCUAAACGGGGAUUCACUUUCUAGGACCCGUACCAUUCUACGGUCGCCUGAAUGGGGAAAUUGCUUUUCCAGGACCCGUACCAUUCUACGGUCGCCUAAACGAGGUUUUGCUUGGCUAGGACCCGAACCAUUCUUCGGUCGCCCAGCCUUGCAACAGAGAUCAACUGACCAGGACCCGAACCAUUCUUCGGUCGCCUUAAUCAGAUUGAGUCUAGAGGAAAAACUUUGGGGGACAACUCAGUCGAGUGUCGAUUUAAAAGGGACUCUGGGCUACAAAAGCACGCCAGGUCGAUAAAACUGGACAGCUUGACCAAGUCAAGUGUCGAUGCACUUAAGAGAGAAUACCUGCACAAUGACAAGUAUUUUAGAAUAUGGUAGAGAUAUACUUACUUGGUGAUAUCUCUAAUCCUUGGGGAUAUGUCUUUUGGAAUUUAGAUAUCCUGUGGAGGUCUUUCACCUCCUGAUGGAGGUUUCUCAUCUUCUAAUAUCAUGAAACAUUCUGAAAGGAACUUGAAUUACCUGUCAGACAUGACUUAGAGCAAAAACUGAUAUGCAUUCAUCAAAGAGAUAGACAAUCUAAGCUACUCUAGAAUGCAAUUUUCAAAAUUCAGUGAGGUUUUCAUCAAUUCAAUCAGGGUUUAUGCAUAAUGACCUUUGCAUCACCCAAAUUUCCACUUGAGAGAAUUAUCAUUUAAGACAAUCUUCACUCAUGACAUGGAUUUCUAAGAAUACUAAAUGAGAGACUUUCGGUUAGAAAGGACUUUCACUCACUCUCAUUUAGAAUGGCUAUUUUAUGAGAAUCACUCAAUUUUAUCAUAUCGACAUGGGUCCGAGUAUUCUCGCAAGUGGUACGAUCUUACCAAUCUGAGAGGUCUUUAACAAGGACCAUAAUGUGGCUUGGUCAACGGCUUAACAAAAGGACUCUUUGAGUCAAAGCUAUUGAAUGAACUGUCUUGUAAUCAUCUCCGGGUUUACAAGUCAAGAACCCUGCAAAAUGAAAAAGAAAUAAUCUUGCUCGCACUUCUUCGAGCGAUGCUUAUAAACAUAUGAACUCCUACGUUAAUUCAAAUGCCCUAAUCUAAAGAGACUUUAUAAGGGAUGUAACGUAGGUUGGGUUCAUGGGUUGAGAAAUGAAAGGAUCAUUAGGCUCAAAAUGUGUGUAAAAGGUGUGAAUUGAUGAUCAUCUUGGCAUUGCCACCAGUUUUCUUUUUCACCAUUGGGGACCGUCUUCAUGAAAUGCCCCAUUGAUUAUGAAAACUCAACUUUUGAGCUCUUUGAGUUUGCUCCAUUGAAACUCAAUUCUUGCAAUUGACAGUCACCUAUCUUGACUUUCUUUUUUCAUCUAUGGGCAUUGACUUUGCUUUUACCAGGCACACCACUUUUUAUGCCCAUAGCUCUCAUGCAUUUUUUCUUCAAUUUUUUUUUCAUGGGCAUUGGCCUUGCUUUUACCAGGCACACUGCUUUUUCAUGCCCCUUAAUUCUAUUUUGAAUUCAAUUCUUGCGCACAAUGCAUGCGUCAAGCAAUUACACUUUGAAUGACACUCGAACUUUUCAAAAGUCUUCAUCUGCCUUUUGCCUUGCCCCAGUGUGGGGGAUGAUCACCAACUGGGUUCAAAGAAAUGAAAUUGCAGGCUCAAGUGGGCUAUGCAAAGGAUAUAAGUGUAUGGGAUAAAGAAAGAAAUGCUCUUCAUCAUCCUAAGGCACUUAAAUUAACACAUGAAUUCAAUGUAAUAGCAUGACUUGAAGAUUGAUGCAAGUGAGAGCAAGAAAAUUUCAAUUCAUUUUCCUCACCUCAUGAUGUCAUUUGAUCUCUUAGUUACCCCAAUGUGGGGGUGAUUCUUGACAGGGGUGAUUUGAAAAGAAUAUCCAUAAGUGUAUGGGCUCAAAAGGGUUAAGCAAUGGAUCACCUGUAGUGUUUGGGAUAGAGAUAUGAAUUGCCUCUCAUCAUUUUGGUUGCCGUACCUUUUGCGAGAGAACUCUUUACCUUAUGGAUAUGAACCUUCCUACACUUAUCUCACAAGUGUAUGAAUAUGGGACUGUGUAUAGGAUAGGGUUUGCCUUUCAUUAUCCCGACUCGUCUCAUUUAAUAUGCUCAAUCAAUUCCACAUCAUUCAUUAAAUUAGUCCAUCUUGAUGUUCUUUAGUGGAAUUGAUGGAUAAAACAUGUAAGAGUCAUCAUGCAAAAAAACUCAACAACUUUAAGCAUGUCAAAUUCAAACAGUUUUCUAUACUGCAAAAUGGUUUUAAGCAUUCAUUCAAGGAUUCCUCUACAAUGGGAAUUUCCUCAGCAGUUGAUGUCUUUGGAUUGUCCCUAUCAUUCAAGACUGAAAAUCGACUUUUGCCCCUGCACAAGAGAACGUGCAUCAGUAUGAUACUAUGCAACAUAAAAGUAAAUUCAAAUUGCACAUCCAUUUUGGCUCAGGUUAAGACUUUGUCCCAGUCUGAGCACUACCAAAACCUAUCAUGCCAUCAAUUUGUCAACUCUUCCACCAGGGAAUGAUGGUCCUCUUUUACUUGCCUCAAAUCUUUUUCAUUACAAGUGCGCUCUAAACCUGUUGAUCACAAGUCAAGUUUAUGAUCAUUGAAACUUGAUACGUCAUUCUCAGAUGUCCCUUGUCAUAAAGUUAUAGAAUUAUGUUCUGAGACAAGAAGCAAAUGAGUCAGACAAACAAACAAAUUUAAUCUGCUACAAGUUUUGGGAAAAUGUUUUUUUUUUUUGUUCAUUUUUUUUUAGCAGUGAAAAGCUUUUGUUUAAAAAAGUUUUUGGGAGGAAGCAUGAGAAAGUCCAGCCCUCAGGAUUUCUCCGUGGAUGAUAUUUUUCUUUUUCAUGGUUGGAUAUCGUCAUUGGACCGGUUUGGAGUACUCCGUCAUGUCCUCAAAAUUUGAAAUAAAAAUGUAAUUUCAUUGAAUCGAAUCAAAUGAAUUACAUUAUUGGAAUGAAAAUUGUGAUUCCUAAUCCCUAAAAAGAGAAAACAUCAAAAACGAUUCUUAGAAAGCGAAAACAAUUCCUAAAAAGCAAUAACAAUUUCCACGCAGGGGAAGGUGCAACCGAGCAUGCCCCUAAUUAAACAAGGAAAGUGAACUACUUAGGACCAUGAAUCACAUAUGCUUAAGUUCUUCACUCUCCUUGAUCGUGUGAUGAGGACCCUUCAGGUCAGAGAUUCUUCCUUCUAGAUAUGUCACUAGUCUCUUCAUGGUGUCAUCAAAUUCAGUUACCUCGGGAAAAUGAGACGAUUCAAAAGUUCUCUUGGCUCUCUUCUCCGAGUCGUAGAUUCUUAUUGAAGAUGGAGUACCUAUGUCAUCGCAGCCUUUCUGCUUGAUGAGAAAAAUCACAGUAGCAGACAAUUCAUUGACUUGAUUUUGGUGGUGUGCAAUUUGCUUGUUCAUAUUGUCAAUGAUACAGUCCAGUGCCUCGUUUUGAUCUGCCAUUUUAACUCUUGACUGUGUACGGAUGGGUGAGCGAGAUCGCUUCAUAAUCACCUAAAAAAAAAAUGGGAACAUGUAAGCAUGAAGUGUAAAUAGAAAGCUAGUCCAUGACAACCAUUUAAUUUUAAUCAAGAAAAGUCCACAUAUGAAGAGGAUUUCCUAAAAACGGACUAGGAAAACAAAGAUAUGAGAUGCCCCAAUAGGGACAAAAUUUCCUACUCAUGAACUAGGAAGAGCCAAGACUUGAAUUGAAAAUAAAUUUCCAAUUUUUUUUAUUUAUUUUCCAAAUGAUUAAUUACAUGGCAAUUUCCUCAUUUCAGUCAUUAGAUCAAAUGAUUAUCCUGAAUUGUCAUGGGCGGACCAAAAGCAUGACAAAGUAAGUAAAUUGCAUAGUAUAGAGAUAGAAGACUUACUUCACCAAGGGAAAUUAAUGGCAAUCACAUGGACAUGCACAUGAGAUGUGAGGCUCGAUUUCUGUCUAAAUGGCUUAACAAAGUGGAGCUAAAAGGAUAAUCUGACCGUUGCAGUCUCGCAUUAAUGUGUCAGGUCCCCCUAACUCCGGCUCAGUCGAAUGGAAUACGCAAUAAUCACGCAGUCUCGCGGAUAUGGAUAAACACAUUCAACACCAUGAAAGAAAUUUCGGGGAAGAGAAGGUCAACCUCUACAUAGUAGUCUCGCUUUGGAGGAAGUAUCAUUCUCAACACCAUCCUAGAAAUCCUAUCGCAGCCCAGGUUCGACCACAGGUUGUGUGUGCAAAUAGUGUGGUGCUAAAGCAAUAAAGCAUGCACAACAGUUUAAAUGCAAACAACACUUCUAUAGUUUUAAUUCAAACAUUCAUCCCUAACUCCAAUUUGCAAGACAGGGGUUAGCAAAGACUACUCCCCUUAUAUCUCCCAUCUGCAAGAAUAUUUAACACCUUAGAAAUGUUAGGGACAUACCUGGGAUCCUCGCUGCCAAACAAAAAUAUUUUUAAAAAGAAAAAUUGGCCUAAGUCCACUAAGUGUUUUAACACAUCUCCCCAGUGGAGUCGCCAAGCUGUCGCGACCUAAUUUUCGCGGGUUCACCACCUAAAACUAGGUUAAUGGAUUGUUAAGCCUAAACUUAACUCGGGCUCUCCUAAGCCCAUACCAAUUCGCGACUUAGGUUUGAAUUCUUAACAUGCAAAUUAAUUUUAAUCAGGAGUCGCCACUAAUCUAUUUUUGGUGGGUCGAUUAGAAACCCAAGUAAAGUAACGGGAGAUUUACUUUACUCCUACGAACUAGAGAUUUAUGAGUUCGGGGACUUGGUUACACUAUACUAUCCUAGUGCCCUUUCGGUACCUUUUUAUUUCAUUUUUUCAAAAAAUGUUUGGCAAUUGAAUUGAUUUUAAUCUAACUUUCUAACAUGUGAGGUGAUCAUACGUGUGCGCAUACCACCAAUUUAACACUCAAGAAAGCAAUUUAAUAUUGCAAAACAUACAUAGGAGCAAUGAAAGCAUCUACAUUGUUAAAUCAGAAAUCACAGCAGCAGCCUUAGAUAUGACUUCUAAUUAACAUGCAAUUUUAAUUUUUUGUUUUCACUUUAUUUAAUGAAAAUCAUGACUUAUGCAAUGCAUCUAAUAUGACAUGGCAGCAUGACCUAAACUAGAUGACAUGAAGAAAUGCAAUAAUUAAAUGCCAUCUAAAUGACCUAAUUCUAAUGACAUGCAAUGCGAUGCAAUGACAUACAAAAUUAUUUAAACCAAGAUGACAUGCCGCAUAUAAUUUAGCACACGAGUUAUAUGUCAUGCGACAUUUAUUAAAUGAUUUAGUCUAAUGACGAGGAAGUUCUAAUUAAAUGAACCUAAUAAGAACUAAAUGACGUGCAUUUGAUAUUUCUAUUUAAAAAUGCGAAAAUAAUCUAGCUAGAUUAAAAUUCAAUCUAAUUUAAACUAAGGAUUAAGUCACAUUAAAAUCUAAUUUAAACUAAGAUAUUAUCUUAAUCUAACAUGUAAUUGAUCUAAUAUGCAAUGACGUGCGGAGCAAGCCCUAAUUCUACAUGACAUAUGCAUGAGAUUUUUUAUCUUUUAUUUUUUAUUUAAAAUUCAAAAUUUAAAAUUGCCACGUAAUUAAACAUGCAACUAAAAUCCUAAAUUAAUGCAUUUUUUAUAUUUUUCGAACUAAAAUCCCUAUCCUAGCUAUGCAAGAUAACAAGAAAUAUUCUAAAACAAACUGAAUCCUAAUUCAAAUAUUUUUGUAGAUUUUUUUUAGUGAUUCUCUAAAACAAGUCAUUAUCAACUAAGCAGUAAAUCUAAACAAUCAAGAUAUGCAAUCAAAUAAAGGAUCAAAAUAAUCGAAAAAAUAACAUGUCUCACAGGUCAAAUUAACGAUUAUCCUAACCCUAAUUAUCACAACAAAGAGGUCAAAAUAACUAAAAAUCUGAUCCGAAUUCUUACGGAUCAAAUUAAUAGUUAUAUUGAUUCAACACUUAAAAUACUAUCGACAAAUCCCAGAAAUUAUUAUAAUAAAAAAAUGAUCCGAAUUCUUACGGAUCAAAUUAGUAAUUACAAUAAUUCUAGGGAAUAUCAUGUGGAUAAUGCCUACAAAAUCCAUAAAAUAAAGAUCACCCCAAAACAUAAAAGAAAUAAAUAAAACAAAUAGAAAAAUAGAAAUAAAACUACCUAAUUUCUUUUCCUUUUUCUUCCUUUUGUUUUUUUUUCCUUUUAUUGCUUUCUUCACCUACGGUCGAGCGGCUUCGGUGGGUCACCGGAGGUUGGGUCUUCGGCGUUCAGAGCUCCGGCGAAGACUGGCGGAAGACUCCGAGUGUGGGUGUCACGAUGGAAGGCAGGCCCAACUGGUCACGGGUCAGGCGAGAUAGGAGCGGCACAAGCGAAGGAGACAGUCGGCGUCGGAGUUUUGGCGCGGACCGGGCGGCAGCAGCAACAGGGAGGCGCGGCGUCGGUGACCGGCGAACAGCGGGGUUGCGGGUCGCAGCGAUGUUGUCCCACGGGUGCGUAGUGGCUCGGCGUUUAGUUUCGGCGUCGUGGGUCAGCAAAUCAGAGCAACAACGGCGACUGGGCAGAGGUGCUGGUAUGGUGGCGUAGGCUGAGUGGAGGCAGAUCACUGUGCUGCCGGGCGCAAGUUGCAAGUUGUGGGCUUCGGGUUGCGAGGUUGUAGAGGCGACGGGGCGACGCGGUGGCGCGUCACGAGCAACAGAGGAGAUGCGGGCCGGUUCGGAAUCGGCAGUGUCACGGGUUGCAGAAGCGCGGCAGUGUCGGGCUCCGGCGGUGCUACUGGGCGUCGGCGGGGUCGCGAGGCGAGCGGGGGCGCUGGGACGGCGACGCGGCGACACGGGGAAGGUUGGCUCAGCGGCGGCGCGAUUCUGGGUCGCCGGUGGCUCGGCGGCCGGUGCAGGGAAGCGGCACGGGCAGACCCCCCCCC